This 128-nucleotide small nuclear RNA is filed under the name Myotis lucifugus (little brown bat). RNAcentral describes it as "U2 spliceosomal RNA". It matches the Rfam family "U2 spliceosomal RNA". From Rfam's summary of the family: U2 is a small nuclear RNA (snRNA) component of the spliceosome (involved in pre-mRNA splicing). Complementary binding between U2 snRNA (in an area lying towards the 5' end but 3' to hairpin I) and the branchpoint sequence (BPS) of the intron results the bulging out of an unpaired adenosine, on the BPS, which initiates a nucleophilic attack at the intronic 5' splice site, thus starting the first of two transesterification reactions that mediate splicing. The record is from Rfam by way of RNAcentral. Lineage: Eukaryota; Metazoa; Chordata; Mammalia; Chiroptera; Vespertilionidae.
AUCGCUUCUCUGCCUUUUGGCUAAGAUCAAGUGUAGUAUUUGUUCUUAUCAGUUUAAUAAAAUUCACAAGACCAAAAUACUAAUUUAUUAGGCAACAAUGCUUAAUUUAAACAACCAGAGCAACAUUU